RNAcentral lists this ribosomal RNA (399 nucleotides) under uncultured Pleurocapsales cyanobacterium. RNAcentral describes it as "bacterial SSU rRNA". It matches the Rfam family "Bacterial small subunit ribosomal RNA", at positions 978 to 1377 of the family's 1533-position model. Lineage: Bacteria; Bacillati; Cyanobacteriota; Cyanophyceae; Pleurocapsales. The record is from RNAcentral.
GACUUGACAUCUCGAGAACUGAACCUAAUAGUUCAGGUGCCUUAGGGAACUCGAAGACAGGUGGUGCAUGGCUGUCGUCAGCUCGUGUCGUGAGAUGUUGGGUUAAGUCCCGCAACGAGCGCAACCCUCGUUCUUAGUUGCCAUCAUUAAGUUGGGCACUUUAGGAAGACUGCCGGUGACAAACCGGAGGAAGGUGGGGAUGACGUCAAGUCAGCAUGCCCCUUACGUUCUGGGCUACACACGUACUACAAUGGUUGGGACAAAGGGCAGCAAGCUCGCAAGAGUUAGCGAAUCUCAUCAAACCCAGCCUCAGUUCAGAUUGCAGGCUGCAACUCGCCUGCAUGAAGGAGGAAUCGCUAGUAAUCGCAGGUCAGCAUACUGCGGUGAAUUCGUUCCCGG